AGCGAACGCUGGCGGCAGGCCUAACACAUGCAAGUCGAACGAACUCUUCGGAGUUAGUGGCGGACGGGUGAGUAACACGUGGGAACGUGCCCUUUGGUUCGGAAUAACUCAGGGAAACUUGUGCUAAUACCGAAUGUGCCCUUCGGGGGAAAGAUUUAUCGCCAUUAGAGCGGCCCGCGUCUGAUUAGCUAGUUGGUGAGGUAACGGCUCACCAAGGCGACGAUCAGUAGCUGGUCUGAGAGGAUGACCAGCCACACUGGGACUGAGACACGGCCCAGACUCCUACGGGAGGCAGCAGUGGGGAAUCUUGCGCAAUGGGCGAAAGCCUGACGCAGCCAUGCCGCGUGAAUGAUGAAGGUCUUAGGAUUGUAAAAUUCUUUCACCGGGGACGAUAAUGACGGUACCCGGGGAAGAAGCCCCGGCUAACUUCGUG
This 433-nucleotide ribosomal RNA is filed under the name uncultured bacterium. Its description in RNAcentral is "partial 16S ribosomal RNA". It matches the Rfam family "Bacterial small subunit ribosomal RNA", at positions 29 to 507 of the family's 1533-position model. The record is from RNAcentral.